GCCGCAUCUGUGCAGAGGUGGUCUGAUUUGUAAUCAGAGAGUCCCGAGUUCAAAUCUUGGUGGCGGCACCA
Molecule: transfer RNA, 71 nt
Filed under: Rhodospirillales bacterium
Lineage: Bacteria; Pseudomonadati; Pseudomonadota; Alphaproteobacteria; Rhodospirillales
Description: tRNA-Leu
Rfam family: tRNA
About the family: Transfer RNA (tRNA) molecules are approximately 80 nucleotides in length. Their secondary structure includes four short double-helical elements and three loops (D, anti-codon, and T loops). Further hydrogen bonds mediate the characteristic L-shaped molecular structure. tRNAs have two regions of fundamental functional importance: the anti-codon, which is responsible for specific mRNA codon recognition, and the 3' end, to which the tRNAs corresponding amino acid is attached (by aminoacyl-tRNA synthetases). tRNAs cope with the degeneracy of the genetic code in two manners: having more than one tRNA (with a specific anti-codon) for a particular amino acid; and 'wobble' base-pairing, i.e. permitting non-standard base-pairing at the 3rd anti-codon position.
Source: RNAcentral